Molecule: ribosomal RNA, 495 nt
Filed under: uncultured bacterium
Lineage: Bacteria
Description: partial 16S ribosomal RNA
Rfam family: Bacterial small subunit ribosomal RNA
Source: RNAcentral
GACGAACGCUGGCGGCGUGCCUAAUACAUGCAAGUAGAACGCUGAAGGAGGAGCUUGCUUCUCCGGAUGAGUUGCGAACGGGUGAGUAACACGUAGGUAACCUGCCUGGUAGCGGGGGAUAACUAUUGGAAACGAUAGCUAAUACCGCAUAACAGUAGAUAUUGCAUGAUAUCUGCUUGAAAGGUGCAAUUGCAUCACUACCAGAUGGACCUGCGUUGUAUUAGCUAGUUGGUGAGGUAACGGCUCACCAAGGCGACGAUACAUAGCCGACCUGAGAGGGUGAUCGGCCACACUGGGACUGAGACACGGCCCAGACUCCUACGGGAGGCAGCAGUAGGGAAUCUUCGGCAAUGGACGGAAGUCUGACCGAGCAACGCCGCGUGAGUGAAGAAGGUUUUCGGAUCGUAAAGCUCUGUUGUAAGAGAAGAACGAGUGUGAGAGUGGAAAGUUCACACUGUGACGGUAUCUUACCAGAAAGGGACGGCUAACUACGUG